Molecule: non-coding RNA, 813 nt
Organism: Chelonoidis abingdonii (Abingdon island giant tortoise)
Lineage: Eukaryota; Metazoa; Chordata; Testudines; Testudinidae
Source: RefSeq, a predicted model, not a curated record
CUUCAUUUCUUUGUUCAUUCUUUCUUCUAAACAUUUAGUUUAGAUGCUUGGCUAGUGGCGUGGUAUUUUGGGUAAGAUCCAAACCUCUAGUGACCCGAUAACGUGACUGAUCCUUCCACCCACCCACUUCCUGGAUCCAAGUAGGAUCACUCUCCUGCUGGCCUCUGGCCUUGCUGUAUCACAGUGAGCAGAGUUUUGAGAUAACCUCUCUCUGUACUAGACUUAGGUGCUGAUUGGGAGUCAGAGAACUGUCAUGCAAUAAAGAGGGCUGAGCGAUUUCUUUUUUCAGCGUCUCGUUAACCAGUGUGCGGGGAUCGGAAGCACAGUUUGUGACUGGUUGGUGAGUUUAACUUCAGUGUUAACCACUAGUUUUGGGAGCAUCUGCUCUCCCUUUUUCAGCCUACCCUGACCCUGGCAUUUUCAGUGAGCACUGCCCCAGGCACACAAGGUCACACUAAGCACUGAAGGUAAAUUAAUAGAAUGUUUGUUUAUGAUCCAGUUUUAUGAAAUCAACUGAACUCCUUUGUUUUCUUUCAUCUGAGCAGGGUUUCCAGUUUCCAAACCUGAUAUAAUCUCCCAGCUGGAACAAGGGGAAGAGCCAUGGGUCCCAGACCUCCAGGGUUCGGCGGAAAGACGGAUCCUGAGAGCUCCCUGCACAGCAGGUGAUGCAAUGGUAUGUGAGAAAGAGGACCAGAAUUCUCAGCAGGGAAAUGUUGAGCAAGUGGCUAAACACAGAGCAUUAUUGCAAAGAAUGAAAAGGAAUGUGUCCAGCAGUCCUGAGCAGGGAAGAUCCUGUGAGAUUCAGCACAGACC